Lutra lutra (Eurasian river otter) is the source of this 1740-nucleotide long non-coding RNA. RefSeq lists it as uncharacterized. Lineage: Eukaryota; Metazoa; Chordata; Mammalia; Carnivora; Mustelidae. The transcript is spliced from 4 exons. The record is from RefSeq and is a predicted model, not a curated record.
GACUGUGGGCCCGCUGCCGUCUCACCGUAGAGGAAGAAGAUGCCGCUCGUAGUCUGGCCCCGCGAGUCGCCCUCGUGGCACAGGAUCCUCAGCCCCAUCACCAAACCCACGAUGCCGCCAACACCAUGCAAGCACCCGUCACCGCCAGCAUGGCUGGGGAGAGGGGCCGCCUCAGCCCCGCGCUGGCGCCUCCCCGGGCCAACGCCCCGACCCGCCGCCCCCAGCAGGCCUCUCCAGGUCCCGGAGCGGUAGUCACCUGUACAGAGACAGAGGACAGCUGAAACCCAGCCCAGGUAGAACGACCAGGAGAAGAAGGUCUGGAUCUGAGGGUGUCGAGGCUGGUUCCACCGCUCGCUGGUGUAGACCGCCAUGGCCACCACAGCAAAAAUGGCUGGGGAUGAAGAUGAGAGAGGGCUCAGCCCCUCUGCGGGAACUCACCGGUCCCCAGAGCCCAAGUGCAGCCCAGAGCCUACCUGCAGCAAAAGCCAUGAUAGAGGAGGAGAGGGGCCCGUAGCCUCGAACGGACAGUGAGGGGAUGUAGGACAAGAUCAGGAAGAUCACCGACACCAGCCCCGACAGCGCGGCCAGAAUGCUGAGGCUCUGCGUGGCGCGGAUGAAGCCUGCUCCGAGAGCCCCGAGUGAGACGAGAAGGUGGGCCCCACGGCCACGAACCAGAAAUCUGUGCUCAGAGCAAUCAGGAUGGUCACCAAGCCCAGGGAACCAGUGACGAGGGCCAAGGACCGACAGAGCUCCAUCGAGGUCCUAGACAGAGCCUCGCCUCACCGAUGAGCAGGAAGAAGGCGAAGGUAUCGCAGCCCAGGUGGAAGGUGCAGGCUCAUGUGACUUCCAAAUCAGGGGAAUGGCCUAGAAGAAGACCUCUGUCACAAAGAUGACAUGAGCCAGCAGUCCCACAGCAGCCAGUGAAGGGGAGACUCAGAGGGACUCAAGAGGCUGUGGCCUCUUCCGUUACUGGAGUCUCCAGUUUGCAGGCCCCCAUCUCUCACCCAGACCCUCACCACCGAGGUAACUGGCCACUCCUGAGAAUGUGCUCAUGAAUGCAGGCUCCCAGAAGCAGCAGGGGCACCAACGCAAAAAUGGCGGUAUGUGUAGCUCUAGUGGAGAGCAGCGGACAGGCUUCAGGAAUCCCGGCCAAGGGAGUGUCAGAGCCCAGAGGUCACCUGCAAUCUCUACCCCACCCUUAACUCCACCCCUGUCCUCCAACACAACCCCCUUCUUAUCCCCAGACGUAAUUCCAAACUCAGCCCCAUUCCUAACCUCAUCUCCAACCCAAACCCAGCCCUGUCCCUAACCCAGCUCUACCCACAAAUUCAACCCCGUCCUGAUUCCUAAACCAAACCCUGUUUUCAUUGCCAAGACCGGCUCUAAACCCAGUCCCAUCUCCAACCCCAAAUACAACCCACUCCUUAACCCCAGAUCCAACCUCUAAUUUAACCCCAUCCUCCAAACUAACCUGACCUCCAUCUUCUUAUUCACAAACUCAGCCCCAACCCCAUGUCCAAAUCCAAGUUCAGCCCCAAACUCAAACCCAUCCUCAUUCCGAGACUUAAUGCUAACCUCGUUUGGAACUUCACGCCAGAUAACACCUCCAGCGCCACCCCCACCUUCCUCGCACUCUGUCCCACCCUCUAUAAUUCCGACCUCAACCCUACUCAUAUUCAUCUCAAUCCCAUCUGUUUCAUCCCCCCUCACACACACACACACUGUAAAGAAUGGACUAUG